Molecule: ribosomal RNA, 797 nt
Filed under: uncultured fungus
Lineage: Eukaryota; Fungi
Description: eukaryotic LSU rRNA
Rfam family: Eukaryotic large subunit ribosomal RNA (bases 166-797)
Source: RNAcentral
CAUGCUGUCGAGCGUCAUAUCACCUCAAGCUGCUUGUCAUGAACUCGUCGUGAAGACGGGNCCGAAAGAUAACGACGGAGUCGUGUCCGACCCUAGAUGCAAUGAGCUUUUUAGCACGCAUCAUGGUGGUCGGCCGGCCUGGUCUUAACCCUUUAUUCUCAAGGUUGACCUCGGAUCAGGUAGGAAUACCCGCUGAACUUAAGCAUAUCAAUAAGCGGAGGAAAAGAAACCAACAGGGAUUACCUCAGUAACGGCGAGUGAAGCGGUAACAGCUCAAAUUUGAAAUCUGGCCUUCACGGGUCCGAGUUGUAAUUUGUAGAGGAUGUUUCGAGCAAGGUGGCGGUUUAAAUUUCUUGGAACAGAAUGUCAUAGAGGGUGAGAAUCCCGUCUUGAACCGUCGUCCGCGUCCAUGUGAAACUCCUUCGACGAGUCGAGUUGUUUGGGAAUGCAGCUCAAAAUGGGUGGUAAAUUUCAUCUAAAGCUAAAUAUUGGCCAGAGACCGAUAGCGCACAAGUAGAGUGAUCGAAAGAUGAAAAGCACUUUGAAAAGAGAGUUAAACAGUAUGUGAAAUUGUUGAAAGGGAAGCGCUUGCAACCAGACUUGUGUGUAACGGUUCCCCCAGUCUUUUGACUGGACUAUUCCAUUAUAUCCAGGCCAGCAUCGGUUUGGGUGGUUGGUUAAAGAUCCUGGGAAUGUAUCUACCUUCGGGUCGACUUAUAGCCCAGGAUGCAAUGCAGCCCACCCGGACCGAGGCACGCGCACCUGCUCGGAUGCUGGCGUAAUGGUUGUAAGCGACC